This 71-nucleotide transfer RNA is filed under the name Araneus ventricosus. RNAcentral's name for it is "tRNA-Glu". Lineage: Eukaryota; Metazoa; Arthropoda; Arachnida; Araneae; Araneidae. The record is from RNAcentral.
UUCCCACGCCGGAGUAGGACCCGGGCCGACUGGGUGAGAGCCAGGAAUCCUGACCGCUAGACCACAUGGGA